GACGAACGCUGGCGGCGUGCUUAACACAUGCAAGUCGAACGGAAAGGCCCCUUUGGGGGUACUCGAGUGGCGAACGGGUGAGUAACACGUGAGUAACCUGCCCUUGACUUCGGGAUAACUUCAGGAAACUGGGGCUAAUACCGGAUAGGAAUCCUUGCUGCAUGGUGGGGGUUGGAAAGCUUCGGCGGUUUUGGAUGGACUCGCGGCUUAUCAGCUUGUUGGUGGGGUAGUGGCUUACCAAGGCUUUGACGGGUAGCCGGCCUGAGAGGGCGACCGGCCACAUUGGGACUGAGAUACGGCCCAGACUCCUACGGGAGGCAGCAGUGGGGAAUAUUGCACAAUGGGCGGAAGCCUGAUGCAGCAACGCCGCGUGCGGGAUGACGGCCUUCGGGUUGUAAACCGCUUUCAGCAGGGGCGAAGCUUGUGGUGACGGUACCUGCAGAAGAAGCACCGGCUAACUACGCG
This 465-nucleotide ribosomal RNA is filed under the name uncultured bacterium. Its description in RNAcentral is "partial 16S ribosomal RNA". It matches the Rfam family "Bacterial small subunit ribosomal RNA", at positions 28 to 507 of the family's 1533-position model. The record is from RNAcentral.